CACUUUAAGGCACCAUCCCCACAAAAGCGUCACCCUCACUCAGUGUGUGUUAACAAAGCCUCUGUCAGAACUCGUCUGCAUCAUCUGGCUUAUCUUGGUACAAAUUCACACCAAGAGAUAACAGUAAAAAUGCCUGCUUGACCUGUCCCUUGAGCUUUCAGACUGUAGGAUAGAGGGGAUGUGAACACUCCAAGGAGAGUGAUGAUUCAGGCUGCUACCAGUAUUAUUAUUUAUUUUUUGUUGUGAAAUAGCGACCUUCUUUUUGUGAACUUUUUAACAUGGGCUGAUCUUUCCAUUCCUAAAGCCUCUCGAGCCAGUAGACCACGUUUCCAUCCCUUAACAGGCCACUAAGUGUCACAAUUGGAUUUUCGAUUUAAACUUUUUUUUUUCAAAAGGGACAGCAAUACCACAAUAGGAAUCACUAGAUAGCAGAAAGGGUCUUUGCAACAACAGUUUGAGUUUCUCAGAGGUUUUUUUUGGCACAAUUGAAUGCACCAUUAGUUUAACAAUGUGCUAUACGAAGGCACCACGGAGCCCCGUCGGAGCCGCAGUCCACAUGCUUUACCUUCGUUUUUUGUUUACAUAACUCACUCACGUGGAAGGCAAAACGUUGCCACACCGGUGACCUCAGGGAAGCAGAAGGAUUACUCUCUCUGUCCGUCAUCUCCAACUCCGACAGUGGCCAUGGUGACUGGAAUAGCCAAGCUACAGGCUACCGAUAUAAAAAUGGCCAAAUGCUGCCCCUUUGAUGGGGAGGGACAUUCCUGGAAUCUCUCAGAUGUCUGUGCUGCUUUGCGGUAACCCAACUCCGGUUGAAAGCAUUUUCCUGGGAAAAAGAGGCGGCUCGCAAUCGACGGGGCACAGGGACACCUGCAGCUCUGGCGCAGCGGCGACUACAGAUCAGCCCUGGACAUGACUCAACACCGAACCGAACACACAAAUACACACACGCACACGCACACACCCUGACACUUGCAUUCACACAGAAAAAAGUACUCCAGCACUCGCCUAUGCUUCCACACACGUACGGUACAUUCCACUCUGCAACUUCCCCCACCUUUCCAACUGUCUCUCCGGUUCAUUCAGUGAUGUCCAUGCUGAUGAGUGUAUUACGGUGAAAAUGAGGACAGCUGCUCCCAUAAACCCUGUCAUCAAUUUGUCUCAGUCAUUAAAAUUGUCUGUAAUUGGC
Molecule: long non-coding RNA, 1189 nt
Organism: Perca flavescens (yellow perch)
Lineage: Eukaryota; Metazoa; Chordata; Actinopteri; Perciformes; Percidae
Exons: 2
Source: RefSeq, a predicted model, not a curated record